This 253-nucleotide ribosomal RNA is filed under the name uncultured bacterium. Its description in RNAcentral is "partial 16S ribosomal RNA". It matches the Rfam family "Bacterial small subunit ribosomal RNA", at positions 524 to 776 of the family's 1533-position model. The record is from RNAcentral.
UACAGAGGGUGCAAGCGUUGUUCGGAAUUAUUGGGCGUAAAGCGCGUGUAGGCGGCAGCGUAAGUCGGGCGUGAAAUCCCACGGCUCAACCGUGGAAGUGCACUCGAAACUGCGCAGCUAGAGUCCUGGAGAGGAAGGUGGAAUGCUUGGUGUAGAGGUGAAAUUCGUAGAUAUCAAGCGGAACACCGGUGGCGAAGGCGGCCUUCUGGACAGUGACUGACGCUGAGACGCGAAAGCGUGGGGAGCAAACAGG